Molecule: long non-coding RNA, 396 nt
Organism: Nanorana parkeri
Lineage: Eukaryota; Metazoa; Chordata; Amphibia; Anura; Dicroglossidae
Exons: 3
Source: RefSeq, a predicted model, not a curated record
GCGACCUGCCUUACUGGAGUUAGAAAGAUUUGAAAGAAGAGCAAUGGAGAGAAAAGCUGUUGAACUGGAGGAGGAGUUAAAGGUCCUUUCUGACUUGAAGGCGGAUAAUCAAAGACUCAAGGAUGAAAAUGCAGCUUUAAUACGAGUCAUCAGCAAGCUUUCGAAGUAAGGAGGCAGAAUGAGAACGGAUGAUAACAGCCAUAUCCAUUAUGAAUAUCUUUGCUCUGCCUUGGCCAACAUGGACUUGAAGGCCUGCUGGGCCAGAACACGGUCUUCCUGGUUGUAAAAGCUACUGCAUAAGACUGUUGGAAAUAGAAGUGAUCUACAGUUUGGGAUUGUGGUGCACACACUGGAUCCAUACUGUCAGACCCAGCAUCCCAAAACUGUGAACACAGA